AUGUAAUAUACGAUGAACCAGUUUUCAAAGCUUGUUGUUAAGUGCUUUUAUCAAGUAGUAGAGCUUUCAAUGCUUAAAAAUUACUACAUACAAUAAUAUCAAAAAUGAUAGAUUAGAUUUACAUGAAAUAGUGGGCGCUAAUACUCAAAUUUAUGUGCCGUCAUUUUUAUGAAAUAGCUUAAAACUAAGCUCGAUAAUUUGACGUCGAUCUCCAACCAUCUCCUGUAUGGUGCUUGGGCGAGGGAGAGUUGCAAAAUUCUGAAUGGCAAAAUUCUGUAAUUAAUGAUUAAAAAUGCGUGUUGAUAACAAAACGCACAAACUGCGCACUUUGCCAUUCUGUAAUCAUAUGUUGAGUUGGAGAACGUCGCAUUGAACUAUGGUAUCCAACUGAAUCCGACGCGUAUAAUUAGUGAUUUCGAAAUGGCUUUUAUUUCUGCAGGAAGGGAGUGUUCCCCAUUUGCACGGCAGAGUGGUUGCCUCUUCCACUUCGGGAAAAUUAUUCAAAAAGAAGGACUAAGCCGCAAAUAUGGCAGCAGUUUUUCAAUCCAAGUAAGAAUGCUUAAAAGCUUAGCACUGGUUCCUCAUAGCGAAAUCUCAGAGUAUUACACAAGUUUGCGUAAUUCAUUUGACGACAGCGAUUUGCAAAAACUUUCAAAAUGGUUUGAAAAAAGUUAUGUGUUUGGUAAAAAGUCACAGCCUAAAUAUUUAACAUAAUUUUGGUCCGUGUUCGAUGAAUCUAGAUCGAAAGUUUUUCCAAGAACGCAAAACAGUGUGGAAGCUUGGCAUCGCAGCCUUAAAGUCAUAGUUGGAAAAAAUCGUGCGACGCUGUACAAAUUGAUAUCUGACUUACAAAGGGAGCUUAUUUAUGCUGAAAAAAAGUACAAAAAUUAAAAAACGGCGAAAAAAUAAAAAUAAACAGAAAAUUCAUGGAAAAAACCAACAAAUUACAAGAACAAUGAAAAAAAGAUUAGAUUAAAGUCACUUAGUUAUGUUUAGUUUAUGUUAUAUUAUUAUGUAUGUAUAAGCAAAUUUAUUUAAAAUACACGAUUUGGCUCAAAUUUUGGGGAAAAAUUUCCAGAAUUAAUUUUGGAAAACGUAAAUUACGGAAUUAUGAAAAACCAGAAUUUUGAAUGCAGCCAAAAAAAGCGAAGGAAUUGCGGAAUUCCGAUUUCCAGAAUUUUGUCGACCCAGAAUUUUGAUUCCGGAAUUUUGACUUCAGAAUUUUAAUUUUAGAGUUUUGACCGUUUCCCACCGUCUUUUCCUUACUUGGCUGAUUUGGUCCUUUCGCGGCCAGAUUACUUGGGUUGGUAAUCUUGGAUACUUUCGAUGUUGAGUGUUCCAUAUUUAUGCUUAGCUCAGAUGAAAGAGGUUGGUCACUUAUACGCAGAGCCGGUAUGCGUGGAGCAUUAGAAUACCUUGAAUCGGAAGGGGAAUCGGAGCGGACUGUUCCCGAUGAGCUAUUGGAUUACUGCACACUGACCAUUCAGCCAUGAACAGGUAUCUUGACACCUUAGCUUAGGGUGGUGGUCUUACGGGUGUCCUCACACUUCCACAAACAAAAGAAGAGCGUAAAACUAAGUGAGGGAAGUAAGGCGUCUAGCUAUUAAGUAAACAAAAAUCAGAGAAUUAAACUAUUAGGCAAAUGUGUCAAAUAUAUCAUUGACACAUUAGCAAUUAAGAAAC
Bactrocera neohumeralis is the source of this 1683-nucleotide long non-coding RNA. RefSeq lists it as uncharacterized. NCBI's taxonomy places the organism in Eukaryota, Metazoa, Arthropoda, Insecta, Diptera, Tephritidae. The transcript is spliced from 3 exons. The record is from RefSeq and is a predicted model, not a curated record.